GGAUGGAUGUCUGAGCGGUUGAAAGAGUCGGUCUUGAAAACCGAAGUAUUUUUAGGGAUACCGGGGGUUCGAAUCCCUCUCCAUCCG
This 87-nucleotide transfer RNA is filed under the name Populus trichocarpa (black cottonwood). It matches the Rfam family "tRNA". Rfam says of the family: Transfer RNA (tRNA) molecules are approximately 80 nucleotides in length. Their secondary structure includes four short double-helical elements and three loops (D, anti-codon, and T loops). The record is from Rfam by way of RNAcentral. Lineage: Eukaryota; Viridiplantae; Streptophyta; Magnoliopsida; Malpighiales; Salicaceae. RNAcentral also lists the same sequence under 32 other names.